GGCAGCUGGAGGACCUGUUGAUGCUGGCCCAGAGUAUCAGCAAGACCUGGAUAGGGAGCUUUUUAAGCUUAAGCAAAUGUAUGGUAAAGGAGACAUGAGUACUUUCCCUACCUUCAAAUUUGAAGAUCCCAAAUUUGAAGCCAUCGAGAAACCCCAGGCCUGAAGAAAUAAAGUUAAAUUAAUUUGGCAGUUUGCCAUGGAUUAGUUGUACAACUAAUCGGAAGUUUCAGAACAGACAUAACAUUU
Molecule: long non-coding RNA, 246 nt
Organism: Otolemur garnettii (small-eared galago)
Lineage: Eukaryota; Metazoa; Chordata; Mammalia; Primates; Galagidae
Exons: 2
Source: RefSeq, a predicted model, not a curated record